Triticum aestivum (bread wheat) is the source of this 8887-nucleotide long non-coding RNA. RefSeq lists it as uncharacterized. NCBI's taxonomy places the organism in Eukaryota, Viridiplantae, Streptophyta, Magnoliopsida, Poales, Poaceae. The transcript has 13 exons. The record is from RefSeq and is a predicted model, not a curated record.
AAACCCGUGCCAAAAAACCCCACGAUCGAUGCCUCGUGCCCACAGCAGAUCGUUCUCCGCCACCAACCAGCCCUUCGCACGCCCGCCGCUCUCCUCUGCCCCAACCCCAACCCCGCCGCCGCCUCAAUCCCACCGCCGCCGGCCUCCUCCUCCUCUAGCGCCGCCGCUCCAGCCCCUCACCUUCUCAGCCUGGAUCCGCGCGACAAGGUGUGGGGCUAUGGCAGAGAAGGCUCCAUAUCGCGCGACAAGGUGAGGGGGCGCCCAGAUCCGCAGUGGCACCACCGCGCCCUCGUCUACCUGGCCCUCGAGGUCGGCCAUGGAGGUCCGGCCCGACCAAUGGAUGGAUGGGGAUGAAACCCUAGCCUAACACCCACCCAUGGAUGGAUGGGGAUGGGGCGGCGACGGCGGCGGCGGCGGCCUUCUCUCGGUGCUUGCUGAUGUGGUGGACAUCGACGUCGGUGACGGGUUGCAGCACGUAGACAUCAAAGGCUGCGGGUGUGACGGAGGAGCACCAUGGCGGGCGUGCAGGCCAUGGCUCGCUAUGGAAGGCCCUUCCCUUCCCUCUCUCUGUUCGGGCCAUGCUCAGGCAGUCUUUUCUCUUCUCUUCCCACAAAAAAAGGUUAAGGAAGCACUCCUCAAUUUUUUUGGGGUUCAACGGAACAGCAGGAGUGUGGAGAAUUAAGGCACUCGAGGUCUCUGGAAUAUGGAUGGAGAGAAGGGACUGAACAGGCUGGGGCUGGGACUUCACCUGCAGGUUCAACUACCUGAGGAAGGGUAGAUCGAUUGUGGCAAGACAGCCAUGCUGCUAGACAAAGGAAGUUAACGAGAGCUGGGAGAGGAUCCUGCUCUGUCCCCAGCUCAUCAAGGACAUGGACACAUGGUACACAUGAUGGUUAAUUCCGCUCUUUGCGUAUUCAGGUUUACAUCCAGGCUAUUGGGGAGCAACUCAUGGAGAUGAUGAUAAUCAAGGGAGCCAUCUAUGUGACUUCCAACCACGGGGACAACUAGAAGGUAGCCAUGCAUGAGACCUAUCUCGGCCACUCUGAACAGCAGAGAGGGAUGGAUUCAAUUAAAGUCUGGAAGGAACCAGUCAUGCCUUCUUACUCACAAAAAAGGCAUGCUUUCUGACUUCUCUGUUUCUCAAGUUUUUUUCAGCAUAUAGUACAUGCCAUGCUAAAUAACUUGGCCACUCUCACUGUAGUUCAUUCUGUUAAAGUUAUCUCAGGAAAGAAAUGGUUUGUGGCUGGGACAUCUGAUGGUGUGAUCCAUGUGUACAAUUACGACAACAGAAUACAAAAACUCAGAAGUUUCAGAGCCGCCAGUGAUUGCUUCAUCACAUCAAUGGCCGUCAAUCCAACCCGUUCGUAUGUACUGUCAUCGGCUUAUCAUGAUAUAAAGCUCUGGGACUGGAGCAAGGGCUGGGAGUGCACAAAAUCAUUCGUCCAAGAACACACCGAUACUGUAAGUCAGGUCGCAUUCAACCCAAUGGACACCAACAUUUUGUGCUUCAGAUGAUCACACAGUAAAGGUUUGGAGCAUUGGUUCUCCCGAAUCAAAAUAUACUUUGUAUGGGCAUCUGGACAAAGUGAACUGCCUUGAUUUCUUCAAAUGUAAUGAUCGACAGUAUUUGAUUACUGGCUCUGAUGAUCACACUGCUAAGAUAUGGGACAUGGAAGAAAAGGCUUGUGUUCAUACAAUGGAAGCUUUCGUGUCUCCAGUAACUUCUGUCAUUGCCCUCGCCGAUAGCCCAUACCUAAUUACAGGUUCAAAAGAUGGCUCCGUUCAUUUCUGGAGCUCCGGUGAAUUCAGGUUCCACUAUCAAACAAUACAGCAUCCAAGAAACAAAAACUGGCUCAAACGUGCUUUUGCCACUUCACACAACCCAAACCUUCCAGCUGCCACACAAAACAGAAAGAGAUUUAGCCUUACAAACCGUGUUUACUUUGCUCUCACCUCUGCUCCUUACUGAUGUUUUUGGUUUUCUUUUUUGCAAGUGAUUUCUGCAUGGUUCCUAGGCUGGAGAGAAUCGUUAACUUUGGCUCUGGUGGAGCUAUUUGGGGUCUCGGACGUUUCAUGGGGUCAAGAAGGAUUGUGAUCGGACAAGAGUACACAGUGUCAAUCAUGGCCAUCGACAAUGAAGACCAAAACGCUGUCAUGUUCGAGACAAAACAUAUUUCUCUGAUGAGAUAGUAGAUAAGGAAGUAUUCACUAGCUAGCUGAACAUUAUGUUGCAUUCUGUCCAGUGCUAAAUCUAGAGUGCAAGGGUAGAUGAUCAAGACAAACAGAAAGUCAUAUAUAUAUUUUUAACCAUCCGUAUGCAGCUGUCCUUGUCGUGUGAAGAUCUGAGUAUAUUGAUAAAGAUGAUGAUAAUUAAGUUUAUCUGUAUAAUUGAGAAUUUUUGGAUGGAUAUAAUUAAGAUUUAGUUUUGCUCAUUUUCUUAAACUUGUUUCAGAAGUAUAUAAUGAGAUGGAGUGUGCUGGUUGUACUCGGGUAAAAAAGCUAAAGAAAUGUUGCAUGAUGCCUCUGUUACAUUAGAACGUACACGAAGGGGAGGUAAGUGUUUCAUUUGCACUUUUGUGUCUGUCUCUUCUUCUUUUCUAGGGUGUAUUGGUUGAUGCGUUUUGGCAGGUUACUGGAGUUGGAAACCCGAUAACUCUGAAGUUGCCCAUACUAUGAUGCCUAUAACUUCAACAUUCCCUAAUUUUCUAUAACAUGCUCGAUGGAUGCCUUGUAAAAGUUAAAAGUAAUGUGUUGCUUUUAUUUGUUCCGAAAUUUGCACGUGAUUAGUUCUCCAAAUCUCCUAAUCUCAUUACCCUCGAAGAUGUCAUUUUGCAUUACAUUGCCCCAUUAGGAUUUUUCAAUUUCCUUAUAAUUUCACUGCCAACUAUGAUUAAAAGAACUUAAAAUAGCACCUUCAUAAGGAAGGUUAGGCCUCAACUUCUAUGAAGUAUAACAAGGUGUUCAACAGAUGUUUUUCUUUCUCAUUUCAAAUUCGAAGGUGUGGUUUUUAAUAUAGUAGUUGAUACAUUGGCCCUGUUUGAAAUGGUAGAACAUCAGCAGUCACUUAGCACAAAGAAAUUUAUAGUUCAGCAGUGCAUUUUACUGCACAUUACAUGUGACAAAUUCAGAGAAUCUAGAGAAUCUCCCAGUUGCAUUUUCCUCAUGGGAGACUCUUGUAGAAUAAUAAUAAUGGGGCCGACAAACACUGACAAAGAUUGCUCCUUAGUUGCUUGACCCUGGAUUUUGAGGUUGGGCAGAAGUCACAUCGUUUGGUGUCAAAAUAUUUAUGGCUAUAGAUUGCAGGAACCCAAACAAACAAAUAUCCAUUUAUGUUCAUUUCCUAAAUAUUUAUCUCUACUAUUAUAGGGGAGUACAUACGUCUUUUCGUUUCAUUUCGUCUCGUAACUCCUUUGUCCAACGAUGUCGGCAGCCCCGGAUCAGGUUUCUGUUUUGCUUAUCUUGGUAAGACCAAUGCUGCAGAUCUGGUCUCGGUUUCGUUUAUCUUAGUAAGACCAAUGCUACAUGGUUCCAGUCCGCGUCUCUGUAGUUAUUUUUGGCUGAAGGUGUGCAUGAGUUAAGCUAGAACCGUGGAAGUUGUCCCUUUUUUAUAAAUAAUUUCAUGUGGAAAAUUAUUCUUUUUGAGGGAAACAAGGUCAAGAAUUCACAUUACUGGUUGGCUGUGUAUAUAUAGUAAGUUUGCAUGUUAUACCGGUUAGCAGGACUUCACAGAAAUUUAUUAGAAGGAGUUGCAACAGCCUUGAUCAAAUAUUAUUUUUAUUAUCCCUUCUUGGUUUUAAACUGGGGGCGGGGAGAAGAUGACGGGAAAUUUUUGGGAUGAGAAAAUUGGAGAGAGAGAGGAGAUGCUACUGCUCCUGAUUGUUGCUGCCGAUGUCUACAGGAGAGAGAUUGGGAAUGCGAUUUAUCAUAUGCACAUCCAUGUACAGCUACUCAUGGAUUGCUCUGAAUUCCUGGUAAUUAUCGAAGGAUAGAGGAUUAUUUAGUUUAGGUGUUUAGGUGCACACGUCCUAUGUGAAACCAAAAUUAAGAGCUGAAAAUAAUAUAUUGUGUGCACAAUAAGAGAUGCAAGUAUUUGACCAAUCUGAAUUGGUUAACUCGGUUCUAAAAAAAUGAAUUGAUUAACUCAAGAGCAACAAUACCAUGUAUGACUAAUAACAAAUACCAAGAUAAGCUGGGCACUGAAGCCAUAUUGAGUUACUGACACAACCCCAUGAUGAAUGAGAUGUGAACCAAGUCUUGAUACACGUGACACAACUCUGUAGCAAACUUGCUACAAUAGUUACUUUGGUUUCUGAAGCUUAGUGUAUAGGAUUUCUGGGCACCGGAGCCAUACUGACACAGCCCCAUAAAGAAUCUUCCACCAUGCACUUCAUUUGACCAAUAUGUAGUUUAUAUUCAAGGGUUCAUGUGCUGGAGAGAUAAAUCAUUGUAAUGUUGACUAUUGUAUACUGCUUUGGAACCUUGCCGAGCGCGAAUCUGCAUACGUGUGUUAUUUUCUGAUCCCACAAUUAUUGUUUUAAGAGAAUACAUGAUUGACCACGUUUAUCCAGUUGGUACAUGUACGUUCAUUAAGUGUUUUUUCGGCUUUCUUUCAGAUUAUGCAUGGAGCCGGACGCAAAUACUGAAGGUGUUAUAGUUUAAGACUUUAGGUGGUCUAAUACUUCAUGUAUGGGGCCAUGGGAGCACAAAAGGAACUAGCUAAAUUUUGGGUGGAGAUGGAUGGUUUUGCAAGCGGAGGAUGCCAGUGAUUGUGUCUACAUCACACCACUGCAUGUCCACUACACCAUAAGUGUGCCAUCUUCUACUUCCAUAGAUUUUUGGCCUUCCAAUGCUGCAACUAUGGGUCUCCACUCUCUUUUUUUACAGUAUAUGGGCGUCCUAUUAGCAGUCAUUUGUGACUUCAAAUGUUUUUGAAUUUUAGAAAUUAGAAAUGAUCAUUGCCGACAAUGAACGAAUAAAAACGGAGAUUUUGAAUCUUAGCGAGUCAAUGGGCAAUACCGUACCCACUACAUUGCCUGGCACACAGCUGGAAGGAUAUUCCAUCCUUGCCUUUCAUCCUUUGGUACAGAAGCGUGGGUACUAACUGUGCUGAAAGGUAGGCCAAUAUUGAUGAGUUGAAGGAGAGAAAUAACUACCACACCACCCAGCAACUCGCACCUUCCAGUUAUGUUAUUUGUUUAUGCAGGGUUGUACUGGUUAGUAGUUAGUAUAUGAAAAAGCAUGUUUAUGCUCCUUUUUUUCUCAUUUCCAGGAAAUAGUUCAUGUUGUAUGUGUUGCUGAAUUUUUGUUUUGGUGAUAUAGAGGUACUAUCUCAACCGGGCUCAAGCUCGGCCACACUGUUUCACUGUAGCUGCUUAUCUGAGUCUCUAUCAUCUUCUUCGCCUUCAGUUCAGAAAUCCUCUCGGUUUCCUUCUCUGCUCCCCUUCCUUGUGCUCUCUGACCCGAAUAUUGGUUGAUGUGGAUCUUGUGAUGCAAGCGUCGAUCUAUCGCUCUUGUGACGUCAGCCAUCAAGCUAUGGCUCUUGUGACACCGGCCAUGGAGCUGGGGCAAGAUUGUUUGGUUGUGAUGUUCAUAGUGAUGUGGUAUUGUCAUGCUCUAAGGAGAGAUUCAGAGAAAAUUAUAGAAGUUAGUAUUAGAUGAUAAUAAUGUCAUGUCGGAAUACAUGUUAGCUACACAGGUGUACCCUGCAAGAAAUUACUUUACAAUGGAAAUGAACUGCGACAUCCCUAAAAAUAGACUUCAGUCUUGGGAGUUAAGAAUUGUUGUGGUGUUUCUCUGAAGCGGUAUGUCAUGUCUGAAUGCUUUCUUAAUUUAGGUGUACAUGUAGAUAAGAGAAAAAACUGAAACACACUAAUUCUAAGAUCAGGUUUGGGCAUACAAAUGGCUCUCAAUUAUAUAGAAAAGCAGAAAUAUGUACUGUCGUAGCAUAUGUUCUGGUUGAGGGUGAACAUGUUAUGUAUAGGAGUAUCCAUUGACAACAAUAGAAAGGUUCUGAUUUUGGAUUUUGUCAAGUUCUGUUUGAGAUUGAAUUAUACUUCCACUGCACUAUUUUUUGUUGUUAAUUUCGAAAUUUUUGUCAUGAAUUUUGGACAUCCAUAAGUGUUUUGGAAUUGUUAAGGGUUGUCAGCAAAUAUUUUAUUAUACUAACACUUAUAGGAUUAUUAAAUACUAACACUUGAUUAGAAUUAUCCAAAAUUCACGCCACAUCAACUAGAUGUUAGUUUAUAAGAUAUUAGUUGUAUCAUUGCUCUCCAUGCAUACUAAGUUGCCACUUCGCAUCCUGCCAAAACCUAAUCCUCUUAUUCUCUAGCUAAAGUUGGGCUCCUUAAGAAAAUAUGAUACUUCUACUUCGACACAAAAAUAGUGGUAAUGACUAUCUUUUCUAUAAACAUGAAAUUUGGUGUGCAUUAUGUUUAUAUACACAAUGACAAAGAAAGCUAAAGGGUUGUGGUAAUGCACGGGCAUUCAAAUUUGAAAGCAUAAUAAAUGUGUUGGUUAACACUUCAUCAUCAAUUUAAAGAUCAAACAAUAUGAGUGGAAUCAAUCAUUCCUUCUAUAUUGUUUUUUCUAUAUAUCUCCCAAACAAACAAAGUGAGUUUGUUCUUGAUUUUUUUACAGAUCUACAUAUUAACAUACCACUUUAUAUACGACGUAGGCUCCGGCGAGAAAUACCUCGCUACGAUGGGAAUGGGAGGGUCCUGCAGGAAAAGGGAAGGGUGCAUCGUGGGGUGGGUUUUUUGUGUAGGGACCAUGUGUCAGAGAUAACAUGGCCGAUAGUCUGGACAAACGCAUUUCUUCCUCAUAUAUGGUGUGAUUCGUCGGAACCUGGACUGUUCAGAUGGUUGAAUUUUGGGGAGCCUGCUAGCCACCCGUUUAAUGUAUGAACAUACACAAUGAGCGAUAAAUGAGAUUCAACCUUGAAGACGACCUUAACCACUGGUUUGAUUCAUUUGUAUGCACUGUAGCCCGUAGCAACGCACGGGCAUUCUACUAGUAUAUGAAUAGGUGGGCACACGCCCAGAAGAGCAAAACAUACACGACAUCACGCCUAGCAAUCAACACGCGCCUUCACACGUCACAUCACGCGCACAACAGAUUGAAGGCAGAUCGACACAAGCCAAUGACAACCAGUUGCAUCGGCAAGGUCGACGCCUCCCCAGGACGCCCAGCACAUCAAAGGCCCGAAGAAGAAACAACAAAAACAUCAUCAAAUUUGGGUAACAACAUAUCCACACAUGUCGAGGACGAUCAGUUGCACCGGCAAGAUCGGCAGGACACCCGGCGUAUCCAAGGGAAUGGCAAGACGACCGACACAUCGAAGGCCUGUAGAAGGAACAAUAGAAACAUCAUCUACUAUGGGUAGUAUAUAUAACUGCUUGAUGUCUGCUCAAAUCUUCCCAUCACAGCUUUCUUCGCAACUUCCUUACAAACACCCUAUUUUCAUGUUCAUUGUUUAGUUAGAACAUUUUUUAAACCAAAAUUUUAUUGGUGCAUUAUCAGAUGAAUCACUCUUUUUUAUAAUUGUUUUGAAGGCAACAACCUAUGGCGUACAAGAAGUUGAGUGAGCUAACCACAAGAGGACACACAUUGAAUAAUAAAGCCAAAGUAAUGAGAAUGUGGGAUUCAAUCAACCCUUCACCUGAUGAACUUAUAAGCAUUGAUAUGAUCUAGAUGGAUGAGCAGGUAUUUUCUUCACAUUAUAACAAUGGUAUUUCUUCUACUAUCAAAAUUAUUUCUAAGAUUAUCUUCAUUCAGUUUUGAAGGGUGAUACAAUUCAUGCUACUAUCUAGAAGAAUCUAAUGGAAACUUAUAGAUCGAAGAUCAACGAGGGUUCCAUAUAUGCUUUUAGCAAUUUUAAAGUUGUAGAUCCGACAAAAUAUCGCCCAGUCAACGAAGAAACUAAAAACAAUUCUAUACAAAACAGACCUAACGAAGAUGAAAGGUUCCUCGGAUAAUUUUCCAGAUUAGUACUUCGAGUUUGCUAGCAAAGAUACCCUACAAGAACAGCUAGAAAAAUACCAACAAUGCUCAGAUGUCAUUGGGUUCUUACCAAGAUUAAACCAAUAGAAUCAAGGAUGACAACAACAAAACAACAACUUUAGAUAUACGUGAGAUCGGAAUUCUUAUGCGAGAAUAAGUGUAUAUCUAUGCGUCAACUUUUCAUUAAUAAGGAUUUGAUGGAUGAUGAGGCGGACAUGUUAAAACAAGAAUCAAAUAAACAGAAUGAGCCAGUUAAAAAGCAAAUGUGAGCUUACCAAGAACACAUGCGAGUUGGUCCCUGCGAAAUAGGAUCCAGAAGAUAAAACGGGAGUACAGAACCUCAGAAGGAGCAUCAACAUAAAAAUACAUCAACAAGUGUCGGUAGCAGAAAAAUAAGGCGGAAAUCUAUUGUAUUAUCAGACUUGGAAGAUGAAGAAAAUGAAAACAAUAAAUCUGGAAAAUAAGAAAAAGAGUGCCCAAAAAUACCUGAAGUGUUAGUGCAAAAGCCAAACCUUGAACAUGGAGGCUCAGUGUUGGCUACGCCAAAGAUAAAAGUACUGUUCAUGCAGCCACAAGGAUGACAUGAAGUUAAAGUCUGGGAAUAUGGAGAGUUUGAGACUAAACGUAUUGAUGUAAAAUUUGAGGACACAAGUAGUCAAUUGCAAGAUCAAGUAUGCCAAACAAGAGCCAUGUGAGAGGAAGGACAUUUUCAAAAAAUUGUUCGAGUCAGUAGUUUACCCGCAGAAGCCGGAGUAUAUGCUUAAUAGUUAGCAUGUUUUCAUAUAUGAUCUACAUAUGUAUGAAUAAUAUGACAGUUUGUUUUUUGAACAAUUCUAUUGUACACUAUUCAGAAGAAGAAUGAGCGGCGCAUUCAUUUGGUCUUAAUCAA